GCUAAAGGACUCAUUCAAUAUUUGAAUCAUCUCCUCAAGCUACACAUCCUCAAACUUAUGACUAAGUUCAUCGUUCAUAGAUGCCCUCAUCAUGCAACGUACAGUCAUGCGAUCAUUGCGUCACUUCAUGUAAGUGUCUCUCACAGCACGAGGAGCAUUGACUGUAGGUUCUUCAGGUGCUUGAUCCGUAAGGACAUACAAAAUCCUCUCAUGCUCCAACAUGAUCUUCAACUUUUAAUACCAGCUAUCGAAGUUGGG
RNAcentral lists this long non-coding RNA (258 nucleotides) under Elaeis guineensis (African oil palm). RNAcentral's name for it is "long non-coding RNA (EGUI_LNC073859)". Lineage: Eukaryota; Viridiplantae; Streptophyta; Magnoliopsida; Arecales; Arecaceae. The record is from RNAcentral.